RNAcentral lists this ribosomal RNA (138 nucleotides) under Pteropus alecto (black flying fox). The record is from RNAcentral. Lineage: Eukaryota; Metazoa; Chordata; Mammalia; Chiroptera; Pteropodidae.
GUCUACGGCCAUGCCACUCUAAACGUGCCCAAUUCUGGCUGAUCUCGGAAGCUAAGGCUGAUCUCGGAAGCUAAGCAGGGUCGGGCCUGGUUAGUACUUGGAUGGGAGACUACCUAGAAAGACCAGGUGCUGCAGGUG